AGAGUUUGAUCCUGGCUCAGAUUGAACGCUGGCGGCAUGCUUUACACAUGCAAGUCGAACGGGGUUAAGGGGCUUGCUCCUUAAUCUAGUGGCGAACGGGUGAGUAAUGCAUCGGAACGUACCCGGGAGUGGGGGAUAACGCACCGAAAGGUGUGCUAAUACCGCAUAUUCUGUGAGCAGGAAAGCAGGGGACCUUAGGGCCUUGUGCUCCGGAGCGGCCGAUGUCGGAUUAGCUAGUGGUGAGGUAAGGGUCACCAGGCGACGAUCCGUAGC
This 273-nucleotide ribosomal RNA is filed under the name uncultured beta proteobacterium. Its description in RNAcentral is "partial 16S ribosomal RNA". It matches the Rfam family "Bacterial small subunit ribosomal RNA", at positions 8 to 287 of the family's 1533-position model. Lineage: Bacteria; Pseudomonadati; Pseudomonadota; Betaproteobacteria. The record is from RNAcentral.